Molecule: transfer RNA, 73 nt
Filed under: Gehyra nana
Lineage: Eukaryota; Metazoa; Chordata; Lepidosauria; Squamata; Gekkonidae
Description: tRNA-Asn
Source: RNAcentral
UAGAUUGAAGUCCGCUGGAUUGGGCGUUCGGUUGUUAACUGGAAGUUUACGGGAUCGAGGCCCGUCGGUCUAG